AUAAUUGCGUUGAAAGAGAAGAGUAUAUAGACAUUGAUUUAAAGCGAGUUAGGAGUAGUGUAAGCCUAAUAUUUGAUUCUAUAGAAAGAAGCUCUGGAGUUUAAACUGAAAGCUUUAUUGCAUAGUAGGUUUAGGGUAUUCUCCCCAUAUAGAGAUAAUGAGUGGAUUAAGUUUACUUAAUCAAUUUAGGUGGUAACGCGGAAUUAACUUUCGUCCUAAGG
RNAcentral lists this non-coding RNA (221 nucleotides) under Clostridium taeniosporum. RNAcentral describes it as "T-box sequence". It matches the Rfam family "T-box leader". Rfam says of the family: Uncharged tRNA acts as the effector for transcription antitermination of genes in the T-box leader family. T-boxes are found upstream of many aminoacyl-tRNA synthetase genes and some amino acid biosynthetic genes usually in Gram-positive bacteria. The anticodon of a specific tRNA base pairs to a specifier sequence within the T-box motif, and the NCCA acceptor tail of the tRNA base pairs to a conserved bulge in the T-box antiterminator hairpin. The record is from RNAcentral. Lineage: Bacteria; Bacillati; Bacillota; Clostridia; Eubacteriales; Clostridiaceae.